Molecule: ribosomal RNA, 274 nt
Filed under: uncultured bacterium
Lineage: Bacteria
Description: partial 16S ribosomal RNA
Rfam family: Bacterial small subunit ribosomal RNA
Source: RNAcentral
AUACGAAGGGGGCUAGCGUUGUUCGGAAUUACUGGGCGUAAAGCGCGCGUAGGCGGACUGAUCAGUUGGGGGUGAAAUCCCAGGGCUUAACCCUGGAACUGCCUCCAAUACUGUCAGUCUUGAGUUCGGGAGAGGUGAGUGGAAUUCCUAGUGUAGAGGUGAAAUUCGUAGAUAUUAGGAAGAACACCAGUGGCGAAGGCGGCUCACUGGCCCGAUUCUGACGCUGAGGCGCGAAAGCGUGGGGAGCAAACAGGAUUAGAAACCCUAGUAGUCC